GUAAGAAAACACUAGAGUUAUUUAUACUGAGACUCAGAGGACUACCAGGAAGUAAGAAAACACUAGAGUUAUUUAUACUGAGACUCAGAUAACUACCAGGAAGUAAGAAAACACUAGAGUUAUUUAUACUGAGACUCAGAGGACUACCAGGUAGUAAGAAAACACUAGAGUUAUUUAUACUGAGACUCAGAGGACUACCAGGUAGUAAGAAAACACUAGAGUUAUUUAUACUGAGACUCAGAGGACUACCAGGUAGUAAGAAAACACUAGAGUUAUUUAUACUGAGACUCAGAGGACUACCAGGAAGUAAGAAAACACUAGAGGGUUAGGGUUAGGGUUAGUUGUGUUGUGUGUUGUGUGACUGUGAUGGGGUUUUCUUUUGCUGUUGUUUCCCUUGUGAAAGAGAUCUUCUGACCUCAAUGAGAGAACCUGCAUCAAAACAUUUUUAAAAAGUUAACAUUAAAACAAACUGCAAGAUGAUAUAUUUUUCCCUUUGCACAAUGCUCUGCACUACAUAUGUGUCCAUAAGCCUGCAGCUGUGCUUGGUUGGGGCAUAUUCUCCUCUCCUCCGCUCCUGCCUGCAUGUGCUACUAUAGAUCUAGAAUGAAUAGAACGGGGUUCCCCAGUCAAGUCAGUGAUGGCAUAAUGGGUGGACUGGCAGCCAUUGCAGGUGAACCCAAGGGACCAACGCAGGACGUACGAGUAGGAAGUAAAAGCAGGAUUCAACUCAACGGGCAUUAGAAAAUAUUAGAAGGGCCGCCACACGUCCAGGCUGCUACACAGACUCUAUGGAGUCUCUGGUCUAGAGCUUCAACUGUGUUUCAGAGUAGUUUUAAACUCUAAAUGGUUAAAUGAGUGAGAAAUAGAUGUCAUUGUUGCAAUAGUUUGUGA
Oncorhynchus keta (chum salmon) is the source of this 891-nucleotide long non-coding RNA. RefSeq lists it as uncharacterized. The record is from RefSeq and is a predicted model, not a curated record. The transcript has 3 exons. Lineage: Eukaryota; Metazoa; Chordata; Actinopteri; Salmoniformes; Salmonidae.